UUAAAGUUUUAGUUUAUUUAGAAUAAAGAAUUGUAAAUUCUUAGGAUUUUGCUUUG
RNAcentral lists this transfer RNA (56 nucleotides) under Dirofilaria repens. RNAcentral's name for it is "tRNA-Tyr". Lineage: Eukaryota; Metazoa; Nematoda; Chromadorea; Rhabditida; Onchocercidae. The record is from RNAcentral.